RNAcentral lists this ribosomal RNA (468 nucleotides) under uncultured bacterium. RNAcentral's name for it is "partial 16S ribosomal RNA". It matches the Rfam family "Bacterial small subunit ribosomal RNA", at positions 28 to 507 of the family's 1533-position model. The record is from RNAcentral.
GACGAACGCUGGCGGCGUGCUUAACACAUGCAAGUCGAACGGAAAGGCCCUGCUUUUGUGGGGUGCUCGAGUGGCGAACGGGUGAGUAACACGUGAGUAACCUGCCCUUUACUUUGGGAUAACUUCAGGAAACUGGGGCUAAUACCGGAUAGGAGCUCCUGCUGCAUGGUGGGGGUUGGAAAGUUUCGGCGGUUGGGGAUGGACUCGCGGCUUAUCAGCUUGUUGGUGGGGUAGUGGCUUACCAAGGCCUUGACGGGUAGCCGGCCUGAGAGGGUGACCGGCCACAUUGGGACUGAGAUACGGCCCAGACUCCUACGGGAGGCAGCAGUGGGGAAUAUUGCACAAUGGGCGGAAGCCUGAUGCAGCAACGCCGCGUGCGGGAUGACGGCCUUCGGGUUGUAAACCGCUUUCGCCUGUGACGAAGCGUGAGUGACGGUAAUGGGUAAAGAAGCACCGGCUAACUACGUG